RNAcentral lists this long non-coding RNA (230 nucleotides) under Lepidothrix coronata (blue-crowned manakin). Its description in RNAcentral is "lncRNA (ENSLCOG00000009832.1)". Lineage: Eukaryota; Metazoa; Chordata; Aves; Passeriformes; Pipridae. The record is from RNAcentral.
CCGAGGCUGAGCCUGCACCUGAAGGACUACGGGAAGUUCAACAGUGACACGCACUCCUGCCAUAUCAUUCAGUCCCGGCCCUGCCAGAAGCCCUCUGACUGUGGUGGCUGCCUGGGGCUCUACACCUGCAAGCUACCUGCUAGCAUCUGCAACCUGAAAGCCGUCUCCAGGCAGAGAGGUGGGUUCCUCCAAAGCAUCCAGAGCCCUUAAAGACAUGCUGAUCUCGGAGC